AUUAAAUUUGUUGUUUACAUUGAGCAGAUUUUAAAAAUAAAACUGUAUUUUUUCAGGGACUGAGCUUAAACCCUGCAGAUACUCAGUCUGGUCCAGGAUCCAGUCAGGACACGGCUGAUGCUGAUGAUGGUGUUUCCUACGUCUCCAUCAGUUUCACCAAGAAGUCCAAGAAUAAAUCCAGGUCCCGUGGUGAUCAUGAUGAUGAUGAUGGUGACACUGUGACCUACAGCACUGUGAAAGCUUCUUCCUCACCUGCUGGAAUUUCCCCUGAUCCCAACAACCUCUACUCCACCAUCAAUUAUCCAAAGAAAUAGGAUGUUUCUCAUGCUAAGUUUUUUUUAUCUAUCUAUCUAUCUAUCUAUCUAUCUAUCUAUC
Long non-coding RNA from Oreochromis aureus, 375 nucleotides. Lineage: Eukaryota; Metazoa; Chordata; Actinopteri; Cichliformes; Cichlidae. The record is from Ensembl.